AACGUAGGAGACAAACGUUAUCCGGAGUUACUGGGCGUAAAGGGCGUGUCGGCGGUUUGUUAAGUCUGGCGUGAAAGCUCUCGGCUAAACCGGGAGAGGUCGUUGGAUACUGGCGAACUAGAGGAUGGUAGAGGCGUGUGGAAUUCCGGGUGUAGUGGUGAAAUGCGUAGAGAUCCGGAGGAACACCAGUGGCGAAGGCGACACGCUGGGCCAUACCUGACGCUAAAGCGCGACAGCAUGGGGAGCAAACGGG
This 253-nucleotide ribosomal RNA is filed under the name uncultured bacterium. RNAcentral describes it as "partial 16S ribosomal RNA". It matches the Rfam family "Bacterial small subunit ribosomal RNA", at positions 524 to 776 of the family's 1533-position model. The record is from RNAcentral.